This is a long non-coding RNA of Pomacea canaliculata, 1220 nucleotides long. RefSeq lists it as uncharacterized. The record is from RefSeq and is a predicted model, not a curated record. The transcript is spliced from 2 exons. NCBI's taxonomy places the organism in Eukaryota, Metazoa, Mollusca, Gastropoda, Architaenioglossa, Ampullariidae.
UGUGUAUGUUCGUGUGCCUGCCUGUGGGUGUAUGUGGAAGUUUGGGUGAGCCUUGGGAAAAAAACUGUGUAUUUACCUUUAUAGUGUUUUAUGGAAGGCAGUCCAGCAGAUAGACGGGCAAACAGACAAACUCACAGACUGCUGGGAAGAUAUACAGACGGGCAGACAUUAAUUAUACGAACGCAUUUGCCUCAAAGCCCACAACAUAAUGGAGGUCUUGGACGUGGCGAUCAGAAACCUGUUCAUUUACAGGGACCUUAUCAAUGACCAAGCGCCGAGGAGCGCGUAAAUAACCCUGACACAUUUAUUUAUUCCACUCAAGUGGUUGACUCACGGCCGCUCACUCUCAGACAUGCGCACACACCUCACUCGCCCCCACCGGCUAAAUUUGGGUGCGUAUAAAUUGCCGUACCCGGACAUCUACCCACAUAGCGAGCUUGUCGGAGCUCCGAGAGAGGUGGAUAACAACCUUGACCACGCGUCACACCUGUAGCCCCCGGAGCUGUCUCCCCCACAACCCCCCGGGGCUACCCUCUUUCGGACACGCAGUUAUUUGCUUUGCACCUGCCACCUACCUGCUUUAGCAUUAGUUGCUGAGUCGGCGUUACACCCUAUACUGUCUACCCUCACCCCUUCCCAUGUUUUCAUCUCCCCCAGGCCUAUUUGUUUUUCUUUCAUCAGUUCAUCUUUGCUGGCGUCUUUUCGAAAUUUCUUUAAUGUCGUCCCGCGUUUUGAUGUUAACAAUCAUCGAGGUACAUCAAAACAGAGUCGACACGGUGAGAUCACGAACUUGUGUACAUCCGUGGUGAGAUCCCUUGCCACAGGUGUUUCGCUUCGCUUUCCCGGAAAUUUAGAUGUUAAAAAUAAGUCGAGAAGUAGUUCAGAUGAAAUACGAAUUCCUCGGGUCACGUGAGUCUGUUUGCACUGGUUAGCGUUUCCCUCUCUCAAACCGAAAUUAAGGAACUAAUUGGAGAGUUAUCAGCACAAUCUUUCCUCUUCUGUCUCAAAGGAACAAAACAGCUUCUUAAGCUGACAGGUGUUGUGGAGAGAAAAAUGACUUGGCAUGAGAGAAAGGUCACCGCCGGGAAGUACUGCCACAGAUCUUGCUGCUGAGGAUGAGGACAGAUGUUUCUGCGAGUCAACACACUACAAAAACGACCAAAAAGCGUUUCUGACGUAGAAGUUCAAAUAUUAAUCGAUAAAGCAAUAUAAACGCUCAA